Long non-coding RNA from Callithrix jacchus (white-tufted-ear marmoset), 1934 nucleotides. RefSeq lists it as uncharacterized. Lineage: Eukaryota; Metazoa; Chordata; Mammalia; Primates; Cebidae. The record is from RefSeq and is a predicted model, not a curated record.
UUGCUGGGUGGGUGGUCCUUCCCUGGGUUUUGUUUGCAGGUGAGAUUGGCCCCGCCUUCCCAAUGGCGUCUCUCCCAGAGCUCGAUCUUCCUGGUUGGGGUCAAGCUGGUGUAUUUGCCGCCUAGCCCUCUAGUCAAGGGCUUCAGUUUGAGCUCUGUGGAGGUGGGGCCUGCCAGGCCUUAUGGUCUGUUUCCCUGCUUUCAACUCUGCCUCCCUCUGUGGGAAGGUCCGUCCUGCUGGCUUUAGUCCCAACUCCCACCCAGGUCCCUGCUACAAUUUGCCACGCCCGGCGGUAGCCGCUGCUCAGCUUUGCAUGGAUAAACCGCGGCGCCCCACAGUCUGGCAGGGCCCCCGUGGACCGUGGGUCGCAGGAGAGAUGAGGACACACAUUGAAGGUAGCAGCACCACAGGAUGGAAGCCAUAGGAAAGCUGUUCAACUGACAAGAGCUUUGUCUUCCCGACUGAUUCUGAACUCCCAGGAAUAUGAAAACGCAGUGACAUUACUUAGCACCUGAAGCCCCAGCAGUCACAGGGAUACUGUGCAGUCCUGCAGGUUUUGGGGUACAUGUGAAGAACAUUCAAGAUUGUUGCAUAGAGACAAGUUCUUGCUAUGUUGUCUAGCCUAGCCUCAAAUUCCUGGAUUCAAGCAAUCCUCCUUCUAUAGGUAUGAGCCACUGUGCCUGGCUAGCAUCCAGUUUUAGGCCUAACGUAAGUUGUUUGAAACCCAGUUGUAUCCUGUCACCUUUGACCUACUUAAACUUCCCUCCCUGUGUGAUUUUUUGUGAUAUGCUCCACUUGUUCCUCAUCCAGCUGACCCCAAACCCAAUAUGCUCCACAACUACUGAUCAUGAUAAAAACCUAAUAGUGUCAGAAUCAUAGAAGUAAGUUCCUGCUUCCUGUUUUCUUUAAACUAGUCGAUCCACAGCCCCCAUGGGAAAGCCUAAAGGGUGGUGCAUACAGACCUAAUAAAGACAGUCCCCAGGUGCUUGCUCUCUCUUGCUUGCCACUUGCUGGCUGCACUUCCUGCCACCUCCAGGCUUCCUGUUGGCGCCCCUCAUCUGUCUGAGACCUGUGAGUAAUACAUGUCUGUUUCAUGCAUUUUAGUUUCACUUCCUCACUGUGUCUCCUCUGACACACGUCUGAACCUAACCUUUCCCCAACCCCUUUCAGAGCUUUCCUGGAUAGUGGCUAUCCUGGCUUAUGGCCAUUCUCAAGAGAAGAAACCUCAAGACCAAAUUAGUAAAAACCCUAACAAUGGAACCACCCCACAGGGUGAACACAGUACCCCCUUUCUUAGAGUUAUCAUGAAGAUUAAUGAUUUACCCAUGUAAAGAAAUGAAUGCUGUGUCUGGCUGAUAGAAACCAAAUCAAAAAUAUUUGAAUUAUGAUUAACCAUUAUGUUAUUAUUUAAUAUAUUAAUUAUGAUUGUUAACUAUCAACAUUAUUAUUGAACUGUAGUAGUUAUGCAUGUGUCAUACCUUUAGUAUGAUCUCUUUGAGUCUUUUAUUGUCUUAUCAUGCAUUGUGUGUCAGAUUCCCAAUUAUAAAAUUUACGGACAUGGGAAUAAAGUACUCUAAAACACAGACUUUUUGUUUAAUUAUAAAAAUGAUUUUUUUCUGAAUUUUUAUCAUUAUUGCAUUGGGAAAGAUUAUGAACACUUGCUACAGAUAUUUUCUGUAAUAAUUCAGUCUAAGGAAAUACAUGGCAAGUGAGAAGAAAUAUAUUCUAAUUCAAAGAUGGCAUAGUUAUGAAUUAAACACAAGUUCAGAUUAUUGACAGAUAAGGUAUAUUAUCUAUAUUAGUAGUCACAUUCCAUUAGACAUCACCUUUAUUUCAUAUUACAUAUUUAGAAUUUUCAAAUACCUAGUGCUUUGACAUUGCAGAAAUACUCUAGCAUUUUUGAGGAUUUUGACGCUUCAUUUUAAAUGUACUUA